UACGUAGGUGGCAAGCGUUGUCCGGAUUUACUGGGCGUAAAGCGCGCGCAGGCGGCUCGCUACAUCCUAAGUGAAAUCUCUCGGCUCAACCGAGAGAGGUCUUCGGAGAUGGGCGAGCUUGAGGGGAGCAGAGGAGAGUAGAAUUCCCGGUGUAGCGGUGAUAUGCGUAGAUAUCGGGAGGAAUACCAGUGGCGAAGGCGGCUCUCUGGGCUCUCCCUGACGCUGAGGCGCGAAAGCGUGGGGAGCAAACCGG
RNAcentral lists this ribosomal RNA (253 nucleotides) under uncultured bacterium. RNAcentral's name for it is "partial 16S ribosomal RNA". It matches the Rfam family "Bacterial small subunit ribosomal RNA", at positions 524 to 776 of the family's 1533-position model. The record is from RNAcentral.